GGCGGCCGCGGGAAUUCGAUUAGAGUUUGAUCAUGGCUCAGAUUGAACGCUGGCGGCAGGCCUAACACAUGCAAGUCGAGCGGUAGAGAGAAGCUUGCUUCUCUUGAGAGCGGCGGACGGGUGAGUAAUGCCUAGGAAUCUGCCUGGUAGUGGGGGAUAACGUUCGGAAACGGACGCUAAUACCGCAUACGUCCUACGGGAGAAAGCAGGGGACCUUCGGGCCUUGCGCUAUCAGAUGAGCCUAGGUCGGAUUAGCUAGUUGGUGGGGUAAUGGCUCACCAAGGCGACGAUCCGUAACUGGUCUGAGAGGAUGAUCAGUCACACUGGAACUGAGACACGGUCCAGACUCCUACGGGAGGCAGCAGUGGGGAAUAUUGGACAAUGGGCGAAAGCCUGAUCCAGCCAUGCCGCGUGUGUGAAGAAGGUCUUCGGAUUGUAAAGCACUUUAAGUUGGGAGGAAGGGCAGUAAAUUAAUACUUUGCUGUUUUGACGUUACCGACAGAAUAAGCACCGGCUAACUCUGUGCCAGCAGCCGCGGUAAUACGAAUCACUAGUGAAUUCGCGGCCGCCUGCAGGUCGACCAUAUGGGAGAGCUCCC
RNAcentral lists this ribosomal RNA (598 nucleotides) under uncultured Gammaproteobacteria bacterium. RNAcentral describes it as "partial 16S ribosomal RNA". It matches the Rfam family "Bacterial small subunit ribosomal RNA", at positions 1 to 887 of the family's 1533-position model. The record is from RNAcentral. Lineage: Bacteria; Pseudomonadati; Pseudomonadota; Gammaproteobacteria.